AUGGAGAUUGCCCACCGGAACCGGGAGCCCUUCAGCAUCAUGUCCGGCCGGAAGCGCCCGCGCCCGCUGGAGAUCCUUCGCCAGCGGUUCCAGACUGAGCUCGUCGCGGUCCGUCGCCUCCUCGCCGAGGCGCACGCCGUGCUUCCCGCGUCGUCCCCGUCGGCUCCCCGCGUGCGCGUCCGCCAAGCCGAGGAGCCGCCAGCCAAGAAGAGGAAGGCGCCCCCUUCCGUCGUCCCCGUGAAGAAGAUGACGCCCAAGGAGAGGAACCAACUCUACGGGGACCUCACAACGCUAGCGAAGCAAUCUGAAUCUCAUGUGCUCCCUGCUCAUAUCUUGGAGCUGCUGAAGAAGCACAGCCGCCACGGCCUCUGCGACGAUUACAUCGAGAUCGAGAUGCACGCCGUCCAAGACUCGGCCCUCGUCGAGAUACAGAAGCAGCUGGACAAGUUCGUCCGAGAGAGCAAGAAUCCGUGGACGCAUCAUCAACACAAACAGAUGAUGGCCCAAGCAGAGGACGAAGACGUCGACAUCGUCGGCGGCGUCUCCCCUUUGCCGGUCAGGCCGACACCGGUGCAGCUCGUCGUCGAAGAGGACGAGUACGUGGACAUCUGCGGCGACGCCUCAUCGGUGAAGAAUCUUGGCCAAGGUGCAACCAUCAGCGGCAGCAGCGGUUCGGAUUCUGGUUCAUCUCACCAGAGUGUUGACAGUCGUCCAGCUCCGGCAGAGCGCGCCGCCAACACGCCUCCAACACGCGUCCUCAUCGCCCGUGCCAGCAAGAUUCUGGAAAGGCGGCGAAAGGAGGAGACGUCCCGGGCGAGGGAGAAGGCCCGUCAGGAGCUGCUGGAGACGGAGAGGACGGCAAUGCCGAAGGACACCCUAGACGAGGACGUGAAGGCGCUCGGCAUUGAUCAGUACAACACGGCCAGGCCGAACAACUUGUUGCGACAGAUGGGGCUCUUCCUCAAGCUUGACGACCACGACCUGAAGCAGCAGCAGCAGCAGCAGCAUCAAAGCUUCCAAGAAGAUUUAGAGGAAGGUGAGAUUCGGCUGUGA
Molecule: ribosomal RNA, 1053 nt
Filed under: Triticum aestivum (bread wheat)
Lineage: Eukaryota; Viridiplantae; Streptophyta; Magnoliopsida; Poales; Poaceae
Description: partial small subunit ribosomal RNA
Source: RNAcentral